RNAcentral lists this ribosomal RNA (483 nucleotides) under uncultured bacterium. RNAcentral's name for it is "bacterial SSU rRNA". It matches the Rfam family "Bacterial small subunit ribosomal RNA", at positions 328 to 803 of the family's 1533-position model. The record is from RNAcentral.
GAAUUCAACUCCUACGGGAGGCAGCAGUGGGGAAUUUUGGACAAUGGGCGAAAGCCUGAUCCAGCCAUUCCGCGUGAGUGAAGAAGGCCUUCGGGUUGUAAAGCUCUUUCGCAAGGGAAGAAAACUUACAUUCUAAUAAAGUGUGAGGCUGACGGUACCUUGAUAAGAAGCACCGGCUAACUACGUGCCAGCAGCCGCGGUAAUACGUAGGGUGCGAGCGUUAAUCGGAAUUACUGGGCGUAAAGCGUGCGCAGGCGGUUUGGCAAGUCAGAUGUGAAAUCCCCGAGCUCAACUUGGGAACUGCGUUUGAAACUGCCAGACUAGAAUAUGUCAGAGGGGGGUAGAAUUCCACGUGUAGCAGUGAAAUGCGUAGAGAUGUGGAGGAAUACCAAUGGCGAAGGCAGCCACCUGGGAUAAUAUUGACGCUCAUGCACGAAAGCGUGGGGAGCAAACAGGAUUAGAAACCCUAGUAGUCCAGGCGUU